Molecule: ribosomal RNA, 156 nt
Filed under: Mammaliicoccus sciuri
Lineage: Bacteria; Bacillati; Bacillota; Bacilli; Caryophanales; Staphylococcaceae
Description: partial 16S ribosomal RNA
Rfam family: Bacterial small subunit ribosomal RNA
Source: RNAcentral
UCGAGCGACGAUGUAGAAGCUUGCUUCUCUGAUGUUAGCGGCGGACGGGUGAGUAACACGUGGGUAACCUACCUAUAAGACUGGGAUAACUCCGGGAAACCGGGGCUAAUACCGGAUAAUAUUUUGAACCGCAUGGUUCGAUAGUGAAAGACGGUU